GACGAACGCUGGCGGCGUGCCUAAUACAUGCAAGUGGAACGCAUUGGUAACACCGGACUUGCUCCAGUGUUACUAAUGAGUCGCGAACGGGUGAGUAACGCGUAGGUAACCUGCCUGAUAGCGGGGGAUAACUAUUGGAAACGAUAGCUAAUACCGCAUAAGAGGAGUUAACUCAUGUUAACUGUUUAAAAGAAGCAAUGGCUUCACUAUCAGAUGGACCUGCGUUGUAUUAGCUAGUAGGUAGGGCAACGGCCUACCUAGGCAACGAUACAUAGCCGACCUGAGAGGGUGAACGGCCACACUGGGACUGAGACACGGCCCAGACUCCUACGGGAGGCAGCAGUAGGGAAUCUUCGGCAAUGGACGCAAGUCUGACCGAGCAAC
This 384-nucleotide ribosomal RNA is filed under the name Streptococcus sobrinus. RNAcentral describes it as "bacterial SSU rRNA". It matches the Rfam family "Bacterial small subunit ribosomal RNA", at positions 28 to 395 of the family's 1533-position model. Lineage: Bacteria; Bacillati; Bacillota; Bacilli; Lactobacillales; Streptococcaceae. The record is from RNAcentral.